This 383-nucleotide unclassified non-coding RNA is filed under the name soil metagenome. RNAcentral describes it as "partial contains 5.8S ribosomal RNA, internal transcribed spacer 2, and large subunit ribosomal RNA". The stretch from base 1 to 120 matches the Rfam family "5.8S ribosomal RNA", at positions 35 to 154 of the family's 154-position model. The record is from RNAcentral.
GAUGAAGAACGUAGCGAAAUGCGAUAAGUAAUGUGAAUUGCAGAAUUCAGUGAAUCAUCGAAUCUUUGAACGCACCUUGCGCUCCUUGGUAUUCCGAGGAGCAUGCCUGUUUGAGUGUCAUGAAAUUCUCAACCUUUCUGGCUUUUGCUAGUCAGGCUUGGAUUAUGGGAGCUGCUGGCUUUUGAAGUCGGCUCUUCUAAAAUGUAUUAGCAAGAUCAUUGCUGCUCAUCAUUGGUAUGAUAAUUAUCUGUAUCAUUGAGAGUCAGUUUCCUUUAUUGGAAGAUUUUGCUCCUAACGGUCUUUAGCAAGACAACAUUUGACGAUUUUGACCUCAAAUCAGGUAGGACUACCCGCUGAACUUAAGCAUAUCAAUAAGCGGAGGA